AAGAAAUAUAUGUAUAUAUCUUUCAUUGUACACCUGAAGAGCCGUUGAACGGCGAAAGAUGUUGUGCAGAUAUAAAGAAGAUUUGACAA
Molecule: long non-coding RNA, 89 nt
Organism: Haliotis rubra (blacklip abalone)
Lineage: Eukaryota; Metazoa; Mollusca; Gastropoda; Lepetellida; Haliotidae
Exons: 3
Source: RefSeq, a predicted model, not a curated record